This is a small nucleolar RNA of Mercurialis annua (annual mercury), 79 nucleotides long. RefSeq annotates it as small nucleolar RNA snoR128. The transcript has a single exon. Lineage: Eukaryota; Viridiplantae; Streptophyta; Magnoliopsida; Malpighiales; Euphorbiaceae. The record is from RefSeq and is a predicted model, not a curated record.
UUGCUGUGACAAAACCAGAAUGUUAUGAAAUUUAUGUCAUCGCUUGAUAAAAUUUCAUCUGGUGCGGUUACCUGAGCAA